Molecule: ribosomal RNA, 475 nt
Filed under: uncultured bacterium
Lineage: Bacteria
Description: partial 16S ribosomal RNA
Rfam family: Bacterial small subunit ribosomal RNA
Source: RNAcentral
GAUGAACGCUGGCGGCGCGCCUAACACAUGCAAGUCGAACGGCACCCACCUCCGGGUGGAAGCGAGUGGCGAACGGCUGAGUAACACGUGGAGAACCUGCCCCCUCCCCCGGGAUAGCCGCCCGAAAGGACGGGUAAUACCGGAUACCCCGAGGUGCCGCAUGGCACCCCGGCUAAAGCCCCGACGGGAGGGGAUGGCUCCGCGGCCCAUCAGGUAGACGGCGGGGUGACGGCCCACCGUGCCGACAACGGGUAGCCGGGUUGAGAGACCGACCAGCCAGAUUGGGACUGAGACACGGCCCAGAGUCCUACGGGGGGCAGCAGUGGGGAAUCUUGCGCAAUGGGGGGAACCCGGACGCAGCGACGCCGCGUGCGGGACGGAGGCCUUCGGGUCGUAAACCGCUUUCAGCAGGGAAGAGUCAAGACUGUACCUGCAGAAGAAGCCCCGGCUAACUACGUGCCAGCCGCCGCUGUAA